UCUUUCCAGGUGCAAAGCUUUGGGAUCUCUCCAGUUCUUCAAGGUCUAUGCUGGUCACAGCCAUCUCGCGUUCCACAAGGUCGGUUUGUUUUCUUCCUGGCGACGGAACAAAAAUGAAAAAGCUUGGUUGUUUGUGAGCAGUGUUUAUUGGCUUCGAAGAGUGGAUACCUGUCGAGGGUCUUGAAGAAUUCUUCUCGGUUCAAGCUGCCCAUGGAUUUUCCAGGAGGAAUGGAAGUGUUUGAGGCGGUGGUAGGCUUGUGUGAGAGCAACACUGGCAGCAGGACCAAUGCCGCCACCAAAAAUCCGCUUUUGGAACCGUCCAACGUUGCCAUCCUCCACUGCGCGGCCGAGUACCUGGAAAUGAACAGCGGAGCAGGAAGCCUGUGUGAGACAACGAGCUUUCACCUCAACCAGGCACUCACAAGUUGGUCGGACUCCAUCCAAGUUCUCUCGAGUUGCUACUCCGGACAGCCCGAGUUGCUACAGCUCGCCGAGGAGCUCUUCAUCGUCC
RNAcentral lists this long non-coding RNA (511 nucleotides) under Selaginella moellendorffii. RNAcentral describes it as "long non-coding RNA (SMOE_LNC000690)". The record is from RNAcentral. Lineage: Eukaryota; Viridiplantae; Streptophyta; Lycopodiopsida; Selaginellales; Selaginellaceae.